RNAcentral lists this long non-coding RNA (403 nucleotides) under Homo sapiens (human). RNAcentral describes it as "HSALNT0017323". Lineage: Eukaryota; Metazoa; Chordata; Mammalia; Primates; Hominidae. The record is from RNAcentral.
AUUGAUUACUGAACAUAGGCUAACUAUAAUAUUGCACACUUUUAAAUUAUGUCAUUUAAUAAUAACUAGAAUCCUAAAAGUUAAGUGAUUCUCUUACCAUUUUAUAGAUAACGAAUCAAUGCCUUGCCCAAGCCAGUGAGAAAAUGGAAUAAGGACCACACCCCAGCUUGCCCCAGUACAUGUUGCCUUUAGAGCUGUCAUCUAGAAGACCCAACUAUUCCCAAAGAAUUGUUUCCUCUGGUUCUUCCCAGGAAGCUAAGAAAUAUGUGUUUUAAGGGAAGUAUUAUUAUGUAGUGAUAUUGUAGUACAGUGGGCUCUGAGGGCAGCAUAGUCUGAUACCAAGCCCAGCACUACCUCCUAGUUUUCCUGUGAUAUUAGGCAACUUCUUCAAUGUUUCUGAACU